RNAcentral lists this ribosomal RNA (491 nucleotides) under uncultured bacterium. RNAcentral describes it as "bacterial SSU rRNA". It matches the Rfam family "Bacterial small subunit ribosomal RNA", at positions 501 to 992 of the family's 1533-position model. The record is from RNAcentral.
CUACGUGCCAGCAGCCGCGGUAAUACGGAGGGGGCAAGCGUUAUCCGGAAUUAUUGGGCGUAAAGGGUACGUAGGUGGCCUUUUAAGCGUAGGGUAUAAGGCAAUGGCUCAACCAUUGUUCGCCCUAUGAACUGGAAGGCUUGAGUGCAGGAGAGGAAAGCGGAAUUCCUAGUGUAGCGGUGGAAUGCAUAGAUAUUAGGAGGAACAUCAGCGGCGAAGGCGGCUUUCUGGACUGCAACUGACACUGAGGUACGAAAGCGUGGGGAGCAAACAGGAUUAGAUACCCUGGUAGUCCACGCUGUAAACGAUGUCGACUUGGAGGUUGUUCCCUUGAGGAGUGGCUUCCGGAGCUAACGCGUUAAGUCGACCGCCUGGGGAGUACGGCCGCAAGGUUAAAACUCAAAUGAAUUGACGGGGGCCCGCACAAGCGGUGGAGCAUGUGGUUUAAUUCGAUGCAACGCGAAGAACCUUACCUACUCUUGACAUCCAGA